RNAcentral lists this ribosomal RNA (455 nucleotides) under uncultured Leptolinea sp. RNAcentral describes it as "bacterial SSU rRNA". It matches the Rfam family "Bacterial small subunit ribosomal RNA", at positions 920 to 1378 of the family's 1533-position model. Lineage: Bacteria; Bacillati; Chloroflexota; Anaerolineae; Anaerolineales; Anaerolineaceae. The record is from RNAcentral.
GACGGGCCCGCACAAGCAGCGGAGCGUGUGGUUUAAUUUGAUGCUACACGAAGAACCUUACCAGGGUUUGACAUACAAGUAGUAGGGAAAGGAAACUGGACCGACCCUUCGGGGAGCUUGUACAGGUGCUGCAUGGCUGUCGUCAGCUCGUGUCGUGAGAUGUUCGGUUAAGUCCGCUAACGAGCGCAACCCUCGUCGUGUGCUAUACGUGUCACACGAUACUGCCGGUAUCAAGCCGGAGGAAGGUGGGGAUGAUGUCGAGUCAGCAUGGCCUUUAUAUCCUGGGCUACACACACGCUACAAUGGCAGAUACAAUAGGUUGCGAAACCGCGAGGUGGAGCCAAUCCUCAAAGUCUGUCUCAGUUCAGAUUGUAGGCUGCAACUCGCCUGCAUGAAGUUGGAGUUGCUAGUAAACGCAGGUCAGCUAUACUGCGUUGAAUACGUUCCCGGGGUUU